GUGGGGAAUAUUGGACAAUGGGCGCAAGCCUGAUCCAGCAAUGCCGCGUGGGUGAAGAAGGUCUUCGGAUCGUAAAGCCCUUUCGACAGGGACGAUGAUGACGGUACCUGUAGAAGAAGCCCCGGCUAACUUCGUGCCAGCAGCCGCGGUAAUACGAAGGGGGCUAGCGUUACUCGGAAUUACUGGGCGUAAAGGGCGCGUAGGCGGCUCUGUUAGUCAUGCGUGAAAUUCCUGGGCUUAACCUGGGGACUGCGCUUGAUACUGCAGGGAUUGAGGCCGAGAGAGGGUGGUGGAAUUCCCAGUGUAGAGGUGAAAUUCGUAGAUAUUGGGAAGAACACCGGUGGCGAAGGCGACCACCUGGCUCGGUUCUGACGCUGAGGCGCGACAGCGUGGGGAGCAAACAGGAUUAGAUACCCGUGUAGUCC
This 425-nucleotide ribosomal RNA is filed under the name uncultured bacterium. RNAcentral's name for it is "partial 16S ribosomal RNA". It matches the Rfam family "Bacterial small subunit ribosomal RNA", at positions 354 to 796 of the family's 1533-position model. The record is from RNAcentral.